UCGAUACUGGGGCUUUUUGAA
Molecule: non-coding RNA, 21 nt
Organism: Caenorhabditis elegans
Lineage: Eukaryota; Metazoa; Nematoda; Chromadorea; Rhabditida; Rhabditidae
Source: Ensembl